UUUGAGUUUGCUCCUGGCUCAGAUUGAACGUGGCGGUAUGCUUAAGACAUGCAAGUCGAACGGAAUCUUCGGAUUCAGUGGCGGACGGGUGAGUAACACGUGGGAAUCUACUGAGUAUGGGGGACAGCCCGGCGAAAGCCGGAUUAAUACCGCAUACGCCCUACGGGGGAAAGGCGCAAGCGCUAUUUAAUGGCCCGCGUAAGAUUAGCUAGAUGGUAAGGUAAAGGCUUACCAAAGGACGAUCUUUAGCAGGUCUGAGAGGAUGGCCAGCCACAUCGGGACUGAGACACGGCCCGGACUCCUACGGGAGGCAGCAGUCGGGAAUAUUGGACAAUGGGCGCAAGCCUGAUCCAGCAAUACCGCGUGUGUGAAGAAGGCCUGCGGGUUGUAAAGCACUUUC
Molecule: ribosomal RNA, 400 nt
Filed under: uncultured bacterium
Lineage: Bacteria
Description: bacterial SSU rRNA
Rfam family: Bacterial small subunit ribosomal RNA
Source: RNAcentral